CCCUGCAGCCUGCAGCAGGGCUGCUGUCGCCCCAUCACCUGCUGCCCCAGCUCUUGCACAGCUGUGGUCUGCAGACCCUGCUGCUGGGCCUCCACCUGCUGCCAGCCCAUCUCAGUGCAGGCUCCCUGUUGCAGGCCCCCCUGCUGCCAGCCUGCUCCCUGUCGCACCACCUGCAGGACCUCCCCCUGCAACACCUGCUGCUGAGCCCUCUAAUAGGCAACUUUUCCAGGUGAUGGAGCAGAAGAGAGACACCACCUUUGCAACCCAUCUGUUCUUCCACAAGUCACACAACUAUAAAGACCUAUCAAACUCCCCACACGUAUAUGCAGCUGGUCAUCUGCAUAGCUCUAGACAUAUCCUAGCUCCCACCAGCAGAAUUCUCGAAGAUCAAUCCUAUUGAGUCACUGUAAUUUUUUUUUUAAUUUCAAGGUUCACAUAGGAACUAUUUUCAGCAUGGUGUUUUUCUGCUGUGGUUUUGCAUGAUAAAAAAUAAAAUUCUAUUUCUGGCAAAGCA
This 514-nucleotide long non-coding RNA is filed under the name Rattus norvegicus (Norway rat). RNAcentral describes it as "long non-coding RNA NONRATT006003". The record is from RNAcentral. Lineage: Eukaryota; Metazoa; Chordata; Mammalia; Rodentia; Muridae.